GACGAACGCUGGCGGCGUGCCUAAUACAUGCAAGUAGAACGCUGAAGGAGGAGCUUGCUUCUCCGGAUGAGUUGCGAACGGGUGAGUAACGCGUAGGUAACCUGCCUGGUAGCGGGGGAUAACUAUUGGAAACGAUAGCUAAUACCGCAUAACAGUAGAUAUUGCAUGAUAUCUGCUUGAAAGGUGCAAUUGCAUCACUACCAGAUGGACCUGCGUUGUAUUAGCUAGUUGGUGAGGUAACGGCUCACCAAGGCGACGAUACAUAGCCGACCUGAGAGGGUGAUCGGCCACACUGGGACUGAGACACGGCCCAGACUCCUACAGGAGGCAGCAGUAGGGAAUCUUCGGCAAUGGACGGAAGUCUGACCGAGCAACGCCGCGUGAGUGAAGAAGGUUUUCGGAUCGUAAAGCUCUGUUGUAAGAGAAGAACGAGUGUGAGAGUGGAAAGUUCACACUGUGACGGUAUCUUACCAGAAAGGGACGGCUAACUACGUG
This 495-nucleotide ribosomal RNA is filed under the name uncultured bacterium. RNAcentral describes it as "partial 16S ribosomal RNA". It matches the Rfam family "Bacterial small subunit ribosomal RNA", at positions 28 to 507 of the family's 1533-position model. The record is from RNAcentral.